GGGGAUGUAGCUCAGUGGUAGAGCGUCCGCUUUGCAUGCGGAAGGCCCGGGGUUCGAUCCCCCGCAUCUCCA
Nematostella vectensis (starlet sea anemone) is the source of this 72-nucleotide non-coding RNA. The record is from Rfam. Lineage: Eukaryota; Metazoa; Cnidaria; Anthozoa; Actiniaria; Edwardsiidae.